Molecule: ribosomal RNA, 440 nt
Filed under: uncultured bacterium
Lineage: Bacteria
Description: partial 16S ribosomal RNA
Rfam family: Bacterial small subunit ribosomal RNA
Source: RNAcentral
CCUACGGGGGGCAGCAGUAGGGAAUAUUGCUCAAUGGGGGAAACCCUGAAGCAGCAACGCCGCGUGAAGGAUGAAGGUCUUCGGAUUGUAAACUCCUUUUGUUAGGGAAGAUAAUGACUGUAUCUAACGAAUAAGCUCCGGCUAACUCCGUGCCAGAAGCCGCGGUAAUACGGAGGGUGCAAGCGUUACUCGGAAUCACUGGGCGUAAAGAGCGCGUAGGCGGGAUAGCAAGUCAGAUGUGAAAUCCUAUGGCUUAACCAUAGAACUGCAUUUGAAACUGUUAGUCUUGAGUAUAGUAGAGGUAGGUGGAAUUCUUGGUGUAGCGGUAAAAUGCGUAGAGAUCAAGAGGAAUACUCAUUGCGAAGGCGACCUGCUAGACCAUAACUGACGCUGAUGCGCGAAAGCGUGGGGAGCAAACAGGAUUAGAUACCCUUGUAGUC